This 253-nucleotide ribosomal RNA is filed under the name uncultured bacterium. Its description in RNAcentral is "partial 16S ribosomal RNA". It matches the Rfam family "Bacterial small subunit ribosomal RNA", at positions 524 to 776 of the family's 1533-position model. The record is from RNAcentral.
UACGGGGGGGGCAAGCGUUGUUCGGAAUUCCUGGGCGUCAAGGGCUUGUAGGUGGCCAACUAAGUCAGACGUGAAAUCCCUCGGCUUAACCGGGGAACUGCGUCUGAUACUGGAUGGCUAGAGUGUGGGAGAGGGAUGCGGAAUUCCAGGUGUAGCGGUGAAAUGCGUAGAUAUCUGGAGGAACACCGGUGGCGAAGGCGGCAUCCUGGACCACGACUGACACUGAAAAGCGAAAGCCAGGGGAGCAAACGGG